UACAGAGGGUGCUAGCGUUGUUCGGAAUCAUUGGGCGUAAAGGGCGUGUAGGCGGUUUGUUAAGUCAUGUGUGAAAUCCCUCGGCUCAACCGGGGAACGACGCAUGAAACUGGCAAGCUAGAGUACCAAAGAGGGGGGUGGAAUUCCCGGUGUAGCGGUGAAAUGCGCAGAUAUCGGGAGGAACACCAAUUGCGAAGGCAGCUCGCUGGGACGUUACUGACGCUGAGACGCGAAAGCGUGGGGAGCAAACAGG
This 253-nucleotide ribosomal RNA is filed under the name uncultured bacterium. RNAcentral's name for it is "partial 16S ribosomal RNA". It matches the Rfam family "Bacterial small subunit ribosomal RNA", at positions 524 to 776 of the family's 1533-position model. The record is from RNAcentral.